GACGAACGCUGGCGGCGUGCCUAACACAUGCAAGUCGAACGGAGAUGUUGAUUUCGGUUGACGUCUUAGUGGCGAACGGGUGAGUAACGCGUGAACAACCUGACCUUAAGAGGGGGAUAACAGCGAGAAAUCGUUGCUAAUACCGCAUAAGACCACAGGGCCACAUGGCCAAGGGGUCAAAGGAGCAAUCCGCUUAAGGAGGGGUUCGCGUCCCAUUAGGUAGUAGGCGGGGUAACGGCCCACCUAGCCAACGAUGGGUAGCCGAGCUGAGAGGCUGAUCGGCCACACUGGAACUGAGACACGGUCCAGACUCCUACGGGAGGCAGCAGUGGGGAAUAUUGGGCAAUGGGCGAAAGCCUGACCCAGCAACGCCGCGUGAGGGAAGAAGGUUUUAGGAUUGUAAACCUCUGUCGCAGAUGACGAAGGAAGUGACGGUAAUCUGUGAGGAAGCCCCGGCUAACUACGUG
This 467-nucleotide ribosomal RNA is filed under the name uncultured bacterium. RNAcentral's name for it is "bacterial SSU rRNA". It matches the Rfam family "Bacterial small subunit ribosomal RNA", at positions 28 to 507 of the family's 1533-position model. The record is from RNAcentral.